GAUGAAGAACGCAGCGAAAUGCGACAAGUAAUGUGAAUUGCAGAAUUCCGUGAAUCAUCGAAUCUUUGAACGCACAUUGCGCCCUCUGGUAUUCUGGAGGGCAUGCCUGUCCGAGCGUCAUUGCUGCCCUCAAGCACGGCUUGUGUGUUGGGCCCCGCCCCCCGGCUCCCGGGGGGCGGGCCCGAAAGGCAGCGGCGGCACCGCGUCCGGUCCUCGAGCGUAUGGGGCUUCGUCACCCGCUCCGUAGGCCCGGCCGGCGCCCGCCGGCGACCCCCCUCAAUCUUUUCAGGUUGACCUCGGAUCAGGUAGGGAUACCCGCUGAACUUAAGCAUAUCAAUAAGCGGAGGA
Molecule: unclassified non-coding RNA, 348 nt
Filed under: soil metagenome
Description: partial contains 5.8S ribosomal RNA, internal transcribed spacer 2, and large subunit ribosomal RNA
Rfam family: 5.8S ribosomal RNA (bases 1-120)
Source: RNAcentral